This 379-nucleotide ribosomal RNA is filed under the name uncultured bacterium. RNAcentral describes it as "bacterial SSU rRNA". It matches the Rfam family "Bacterial small subunit ribosomal RNA", at positions 525 to 896 of the family's 1533-position model. The record is from RNAcentral.
ACAGAGACCUCAAGCGUUAUCCGGAAUCAUUGGGCGUAAAGCGUACCGAUAGGUGGUUUUACAAGUCAGAAGUGAAAUCUCUCAGCUUAACUGGGAGACUGUCUUUUGAAACUGUAAAACUAGAGGGGCAAAGAGGAAGCUGGAACAAGCGGUGUAGUAGUGAAAUGCGUUGAUAUCGCUUGGAACACCAAUAGCGUAGGCAGGCUUCUGGGUGCCACCUGACACUGCUAGGACGAAAGCGUGGGGAGCGAAUGGGAUUAGAUACCCCAGUAGUCCACGCUGUAAACGAUGAUGAUUAGGUGCUAGGGAGUAUCGACCCUCCUUAGUACCAUAGCUAACGCGUUAAAUCAUCCGCCUGGGGAGUACGGCCGCAAGGCUA